RNAcentral lists this ribosomal RNA (329 nucleotides) under uncultured eukaryote. RNAcentral's name for it is "SSU rRNA". It matches the Rfam family "Eukaryotic small subunit ribosomal RNA", at positions 587 to 930 of the family's 1831-position model. The record is from RNAcentral.
AGCUCCAAUAGCGUAUAUUAAAGUUGUUGCAGUUAAAAAGCUCGUAGUUGGAUUUCUGGUAGGAUGACUGUGCCCUCAGUAGAGCGUGCGCAGGCGUCUUGCCAUCCUUCUGUUAACCUUUGAGAGCUUCACCGCUCUCUUUGGGGCUCAGAUAUUUUACCUUGAGAAAAUUAGAGUGUUUCAGGCAGGCUAGCGCCGGAAUACAUUAGCAUGGAAUAAUAGAAUAGGACUUUUGCCUCUUCUGUUGGUCAUGGGUUCGAGUAAUGAUUAAUAGGGAUAGUUGGGGGCAUUAGUACUUCACUGUCAGAGGUGAAAUUCUCGGAUUUGUG